UGGGGUAUAGCCAAGCGGUAAGGCAGCGGAUUUUGAUUCCGCCAUUCCUAGGUUCGAAUCCUAGUACCCCAGCCA
This 75-nucleotide transfer RNA is filed under the name Alphaproteobacteria bacterium. RNAcentral describes it as "tRNA-Gln". It matches the Rfam family "tRNA". Rfam says of the family: Transfer RNA (tRNA) molecules are approximately 80 nucleotides in length. Their secondary structure includes four short double-helical elements and three loops (D, anti-codon, and T loops). Further hydrogen bonds mediate the characteristic L-shaped molecular structure. tRNAs have two regions of fundamental functional importance: the anti-codon, which is responsible for specific mRNA codon recognition, and the 3' end, to which the tRNAs corresponding amino acid is attached (by aminoacyl-tRNA synthetases). tRNAs cope with the degeneracy of the genetic code in two manners: having more than one tRNA (with a specific anti-codon) for a particular amino acid; and 'wobble' base-pairing, i.e. permitting non-standard base-pairing at the 3rd anti-codon position. Lineage: Bacteria; Pseudomonadati; Pseudomonadota; Alphaproteobacteria. The record is from RNAcentral. RNAcentral also lists the same sequence under 2 other names.